This is a long non-coding RNA of Daphnia magna, 1543 nucleotides long. RefSeq lists it as uncharacterized. The record is from RefSeq and is a predicted model, not a curated record. NCBI's taxonomy places the organism in Eukaryota, Metazoa, Arthropoda, Branchiopoda, Diplostraca, Daphniidae. The transcript is spliced from 7 exons.
AGAUGUGGCCUAGUUGUUAGGAAUUUGAGACGUGUUCUGUGGGAGUGGGGAUAAUAAAUGUUCUGUGCGUUCCUUUUUAAACAUUCUAUUUGGCUACUGGUUAAUUUUCACUAGACGUCAUUUGAACGGUUCAGUACAGUGUAUUUUACAUGUUACUUUUUUUCAGUUUUUAUUUUCUGUCAGAUAAUGUUUUCAUAUCUUAAGGUGCAGUUCCUAUCCGCGCCCUACAGCAGGCCCUACAGUGUGCAAAAAUAUGACCUAUCAACACUAAACUGUUAUUGAACAUAAGACUUCAUGGUAUUAAAAGACUCUUCCCUUAAGGAAAUUGUGUAGCUGUUGACUUUCUUUAGAGGACUCUUGUAUCAUAAAUAUUUUCCUGCUUCUUGAAACAAAGAAUAUAGGAUGUCUUGAUGCCAACUAAGAGUCAUUGGAAAGGCUGUAAAAAGAUGUUUAAGCAGGAAAAACCUGAAGUUGGAGGAUGAUACAUUUGUUUCUUGUUACUAGUUCUGUAAAACAAAUGGUAAAUUGGUAAAAUGAAACAACACAUGACCUAUUACUUAAGAUCAAUUUUUCCCACAAGUGGAGAUUUAUUCCACAAUCUUCAGCUUUCCAAGCAGACACCCAUCCACAGAGCCAUGAGUGAUAGAUGAUAUUCACAGUGGGCAUGACUGUGUUGUAAAUGGGUAUCAUUUUUACAAAACCAAACAGCAGGUUUAGAUAAUGUGUGUAACUGUGAAAGAGAUCAUGUGUCUCAACGGAAAUGGCUCUCACCGUUUGUGACAUCAGACCUCCCCAGUGUGUCAUUCUGAUGCAGAGCUCUUGAAAUGAAGUUGAAAGGUUUAACCAUCUCAGGCCAAAGCUCAAGUUUUAGCUCUGUCGGUUUCUGCCUGUAAACCCAUGAUUACAACUAAUUGAAAUGCAAUUUAUUGUCUUGUUUGCAGAGGUAUUAGAAAAAUGGUCGCUUUUUGGUUAGAAUUUCUUCGCCGUCCGGUGCAUUAAUUUGAAUGAUGUUCACUUCCUCAACGUCAUUGCUCACGAAAACUUUGAUGCAUUAUUCUUAUCUCGAGCUUACAUCGACCUUCAAAGAUCAAAUCCACGAGGUAUUGCGCCUCGUCCGACAACUUACAAUCCAGCAACGCAUCCAUCAACAGAAUGUAUUAAAGAGGAAAGUAAUGACCAAAUGCCGACUGGAUGAUUUCCAUGCAAGAUGAAUGUUAAAAUCCAAGGAGAUCUGGAGAACCAUUAGCUGAAUACAAUGAAUACUAUCAGUUCUCCAGAACAAGAGGCCAACAUAGGUUAAUAAUCAUACUGGAUCAAAAUAGGUACAUUCUUGAACGAGAUUUUAAAACGACAACAGCUGGAAGGGCAUGCGGAAAUUUAAAAGGACGCUACCUGCACGUUACCUUCAGUCGCUGAUUCAUCUCGAAGAUAAAAUAUAAAAAUUUUUAUAAAUUGAAGUGCAUAUCUGGGCUCCCUUCUUUUCUGUGGCCCCGUUUCCCCUUGACUUGUGAUAAGCCCGUAGGGGGUCAUGCCCCUACUGUGA